RNAcentral lists this ribosomal RNA (497 nucleotides) under uncultured bacterium. RNAcentral's name for it is "partial 16S ribosomal RNA". It matches the Rfam family "Bacterial small subunit ribosomal RNA", at positions 28 to 507 of the family's 1533-position model. The record is from RNAcentral.
GAUGAACGCUGGCGGCGUGCCUAAUACAUGCAAGUCGAGCGAACGGACGAGAAGCUUGCUUCUCUGAUGUUAGCGGCGGACGGGUGAGUAACACGUGGAUAACCUACCUAUAAGACUGGGAUAACUUCGGGAAACCGGAGCUAAUACCGGAUGAUAUUUUGAACCGCAUGGUUCAAAAGUGAAAGACGGUCUUGCUGUCACUUAUAGAUGGAUCCGCGCUGCAUUAUCUAGUUGGUAAGGUAACGGCUUACCAAGGCAACGAUGCAUAGCCGACCUGAGAGGGUGACCGGCCACACUGGAACUGAGACACGGUCCAGACUCCUACGGGAGGCAGCAGUAGCGAAUAGUCCGCAAUGGGCGAAAGCCUGACGGAGCAACGCCGCGUGAGUGAUGAAGGUCUUCGGAUCGUAAGACUCUGUUAUUAGGGAAGAACAUAUGUGUAAGUAACUGUGCACAUCUUGACGGUACCUAAUCAGAAAGCCACGGCUAACUACGUG